GGGGAUAUAGCUCAGUGGGUAGAGCGCUUGCCUCAUGAGCAUGAGACCCUGGGUUCAAUCCCCAGCACCA
Molecule: transfer RNA, 70 nt
Filed under: Ictidomys tridecemlineatus (thirteen-lined ground squirrel)
Lineage: Eukaryota; Metazoa; Chordata; Mammalia; Rodentia; Sciuridae
Also listed under: 1 other name
Description: Spermophilus tridecemlineatus (thirteen-lined ground squirrel) tRNA
Rfam family: tRNA
About the family: Transfer RNA (tRNA) molecules are approximately 80 nucleotides in length. Their secondary structure includes four short double-helical elements and three loops (D, anti-codon, and T loops). Further hydrogen bonds mediate the characteristic L-shaped molecular structure. tRNAs have two regions of fundamental functional importance: the anti-codon, which is responsible for specific mRNA codon recognition, and the 3' end, to which the tRNAs corresponding amino acid is attached (by aminoacyl-tRNA synthetases). tRNAs cope with the degeneracy of the genetic code in two manners: having more than one tRNA (with a specific anti-codon) for a particular amino acid; and 'wobble' base-pairing, i.e. permitting non-standard base-pairing at the 3rd anti-codon position.
Source: Rfam by way of RNAcentral